GACGAACGCUGGCGGCGUGCUUAACACAUGCAAGUCGAACGCUGAAGCCUAGCUUUUGUUGGGUGGAUGAGUGGCGAACGGGUGAGUAACACGUGAGUAACCUGCCCCCUUCUUUGGGAUAACGCCCGGAAACGGGUGCUAAUACUGGAUAUUCACUGAUCUUCGCAUGGGGGUUGGUGGAAAGGUUUUUUCUGGUGGGGGAUGGGCUCGCGGCCUAUCAGCUUGUUGGUGGGGUGAUGGCCUACCAAGGCUUUGACGGGUAGCCGGCCUGAGAGGGUGACCGGUCACAUUGGGACUGAGAUACGGCCCAGACUCCUACGGGAGGCAGCGGUGGGGAAUAUUGCACAAUGGGCGAAAGCCUGAUGCAGCGACGCCGCGUGAGGGAUGGAGGCCUUCGGGUUGUAAACCUCUUUCGCUCAUGGUCAAGCCGCAACAUUGGUUGUGGUGAGGGUAGUGGGUAAAGAAGCGCCGGCUAACUACGUGCCAGCAGCCGCGGUAAUACGUAGGGCGCGAGCGUUGUCCGGAAUUAUUGGGCGUAAAGGGCUUGUAGGCGGUUGGUCGCGUCUGCCGUGAAAUCCUCUGGCUUAACUGGGGGCGUGCGGUGGGUACGGGCUGACUUGAGUGCGGUAGGGGAGACUGGAACUCCUGGUGUAGCGGUGGAAUGCGCAGAUAUCAGGAAGAACACCGGUGGCGAAGGCGGGUCUCUGGGCCGUUACUGACGCUGAGGAGCGAAAGCGUGGGGAGCGAACAGG
This 752-nucleotide ribosomal RNA is filed under the name uncultured Actinomyces sp. Its description in RNAcentral is "bacterial SSU rRNA". It matches the Rfam family "Bacterial small subunit ribosomal RNA", at positions 28 to 776 of the family's 1533-position model. Lineage: Bacteria; Bacillati; Actinomycetota; Actinomycetes; Actinomycetales; Actinomycetaceae. The record is from RNAcentral.